Molecule: long non-coding RNA, 3633 nt
Organism: Schistocerca serialis cubense
Lineage: Eukaryota; Metazoa; Arthropoda; Insecta; Orthoptera; Acrididae
Exons: 3
Source: RefSeq, a predicted model, not a curated record
CACAGGCGUCUAAAGCUAGCGAAAUGAGGGAUGCUCAACUACCGGACCUACCGAUAGAUGGCUCUACCAGCUGAUUACUAUCGUCUGUAUUGCCCGCCAUAUUUGAAUUUGCCAAGAAGUUUCUCUCGGUCUGUACGGUGUAUAAGGAAUUAAGGAUUAUCGAAAUGGUGAUUUCUUGUUCCGCUUUCAAUUGUGCGAAGCGAUGGAGUAAGGAAAGUGACUUACCAUUUCACAGGUGAUAAGACUGCCGAUACAAUACGACAACAAUACAGACUUAGUGCGUUUGCUAAUUCGAUGUUUUUGAACAGGUUUCCUCUAAAGCACCCAGAGCUGCUAAAGAAGUGGAUUACUUCCGUGAAGCGGAAAGAUUUUAAACCUAAGUCUUGCAGUUUUCUUUGCGGAAACCUUUUCCCACAAGAUGAUUACGUAGUGAGCCCUGGAACGUGGAAGAAACGUCUCAGAUCCGAAGCAGUGCCAUCAAUUUUUGACUUUCCGACACAUUUGAUGCCACCAAAUAAGCAGCCACGACGACAUUUUAGGAUUUUGAGUGACUACGAUGCUUCUCCAUUUGAGCGUUCUGUCCUGGAAUCCGUGCUUGAUUUGCCCUCUGCAGAAGCUACUGAUUACAUGGAGAAUGUUGUCAAUGAGAAUUCUUCCGUGGAAAGCAUGUCCCAUUUAUCCAAUGCAGAAGCUACGAAUUGUGUCGAAAUCAGUGCAGUUGGUUCUCAAGUAAUUGAUUGUGGUAUACAGCCGAAAGUAGAAAUGGAAGACAAGCGACCGAAACUUGCAAUUUUUUCUCAGACAUUGUGCACGAAUUAAAACGUAAACUGAAGUGUGUCCGUGAAAAACUUCGAAGAAGAGAGAAGAAAGUGUUUUCCAUGGAUGACAUCAUAAGUUCAUUGAAGGAGAAGGGGCAUCUUCCUGAAUAGUUACGUAACUUCCUCAAUCAUCAGAAAGGAACACAAGUGGAAUUAGUGUGCAAUUUAGUGGACAACUAUCUCUCGUCAAAGGGUAAUAGAUACACAACAAAUGUGAAAAUGUUUGCGAUGACUGUGUACUUUUAUUCACCAGCAGCAUAUGAAUACCUGCAAAAAUUAAUGCCUCUGACCCAUAAAUCAUUGAUUCCCAAAAGGGGGGCAAGUGUCGACUGUGAAACUGGCUUCUUAAAAGAUGUUUUUAAGUAGGCCUACAUUGAUUUGAACCCAAUUGUAAGGGACCAGUUCAGCAAUUCAUGUCUAAUUGUAGACAGUGUGGCACUUAGGAAGCAAGUAGUUUGGGACCAAGGAACUAAGCAAUACACAGGUUUUUUUAGAGUUUGGUGGGGAAGUGCCUCAGUCAAAAGAAGUAAUAGAGGCAUCUGAGGCUCUGGUUUUCAUGCUUGUCUCUAUUAAAGGCAAAUUUAUAUGCCCGAUUGCAUAUUUCUUUAUCAACGGUGUACAGGCAAAUAAUCAGGCCACACUGAUAAAAUCCGCUUUAGAGAGGCUGCAUAGUUCUGGCAUUAGGGUUUGGUGUGUUACAUGUGAUGGCUGCAAGGUAAAUAUAAGCACUUUACGUACACUUGGCUGUACUUUAAAUUUUUCCAAGGGUGAUUUUAAGAGCUACAAUGUUUAUUGUAUCUUGGGCAUGUCAUAUGAUUAAGUUUGCCAGAAAUGCUCUAGCAGAAGUAUCUGCUAUUGAGUCUCCAACUGGCAUUAUUAGAUGGCCUUUCGUUGAGCAAUUGAACAAGGUACAACAAGAAGAAGGUAUGACAUUUGCCAACAAACUAUCAGGACAACAUAUAAGUUAUGUAAAUAGAAAAAUGAAUGUUCCAUUAGCUCCACAGACUGAGUUCUAGUGUGACAGAUAGUAUAGAGUGUUUGAGGAGGGUUGGUGAUCCAAAUAUUAAAGGAAGUGAAGCAACAGUAGAAUUUUUGUAUAAUAUUGAUAGGAUUAUUGAUAUUCUGAACUCAAGAAAUCCAUUAGGUAAAGGGUAUAAGAGCCCCCUGAGACUUGACAACAAAUCUUAUUGGCUUGGUAGUUAAAAAAAAAAAAAAUUAAAUUAAAAAAAAAAUGGUUCAAAUGGCUCUGAGCACUAUGGAACUUAACAAUUAUGGUCAACAGUCCCCUAGAACUUAGAACUACUUAAACUUAACUAACCUAAGGACAUCACACAACACCCAGUCAACACGUUGGUAUUUUCAGACACACUGAAAAUUAUAUCAAAAGCUUAAAAAUCAUUGGUGUUCCAUUGCUGCUCCAUGCAAGAAAUAUUUUUGCUUUUGGGAUAAUUUUCAAUGUGCAAUCAGUAAGGCACAUAGCUCUGACAAGUAUGCUUCGUGUUGAAUCUCCUUUGAAGUAUUUGCUAACAUAUAAACUGUCACAAGACCACAUAGAGCUUUUUUUCCCCUGCAUUCGGUCCAGAUGUGGUUGGAACAACAAUCCAAAAGCAUACCAGCUCAAAUGUGGCAUGAGAAAGUUGCUCUUGGGUAACAGUGUCACUGCAAUGAAUGGGAAUUGCUCAAAUUUUAAUGUGUGUUGUUUGCCACCUGUUUAUGAUUUUCAUGCAAGAAAGCAUGUAGUAGAAAGUGAUGAAAGUGCUGCUGAAAAUGAAGUAGAGGAGUGGUGUGCACUUCUUGAUGAUAAGAUUAAGUUCUCAUUUCACAAGUAAAACAUACUCAAUUAUAUUGCAGGGUAUGUGUCAUUGCGCCUUUCAAGGCAGAUCACAUGCAAAGACUGUCUUCACAUACUGAAGCCACCAGUAGUUAAAUCUGCAUUAGAAUGUGAUUCUCUCUAUGCUUUUCCCAAUAUGGCCAAUAAAAAUGCAUUUGUAAAUUUUGUUAAACGGGGAAAACUGGUUAAAACAAGUGACUGCAUGUACUCUGUUGUAGAAUACUCAGAAACUCUUUCAGAUGAUUGUGACUGCUGGGGAUAUGUGACAAACAUAUACAGGCCAAGAUUUUGCAUUGUGUUAAAAAUAAAUUUGUAGAUUACCCAUUUCCUGCUCUUCAUGAUUACCGUUAUGAAAUUAGGAUUGAGGACUUACAUCAGACUCAACUUGUUUGUAAGAUUGCAUCCCUAUACUCCUGCAUACGCUUAAAAACAUGUGAAAAAAAGCCUGCUGAGAAAAUUUUAAACAACAAAUCAAGUAUAAGGCAGAAGUUAAAUAAACUCAUAUUGUUUAAUCAUGUAUAGUGCUCAAAUUGGAAAAAUUAUGUAAUGGGACAUUCCAUGCAGAUGGGUGCGACAUUUUGACAGAUUUUUUAAAACUAUUUUGUCCAUAGAUUUGUUGUUGUGUAAUGAUGAACUUCAAAAGAUGAAUCACAUUGAAGUAAAAUUAAGUCUUUACAUCCUGUGUAGAUAUUGUAACAAAAUUAUAAUUGUUUAUUAUACAAGCUUAUUUUAAGAUGUUUGGUGUUACAAAAUAUGCACUUGCAUUAAAAACGGGUGAUUUUUGUGAAAUUAAUGAAAAAAAUGUGCUGAGACUUAUUUGACAGAUGGCUUUCAGUGUGAGAAAAUAUGUCCCUCAAUAACUAUGUUAACUUGAAUUUUUCACUUUAAGAAAACAGUUUAAUCACAGGAUGGGUGUGAUCUAAUGAAGUAUGCAGUGGCCCUAUGUUUCAAACAGUAAUGUUUGUGGAUACUCUGCAACAUAAG